CGCACCUUGCGCUCCUUGGUAUUCCGAGGAGCAUGCCUGUUUGAGUGUCUUGAAAUCAUCAAGCCCCCCGGUUUUGCGACCGCGGGGCUUGGACUUGGGGGCUUGCUGCGGCGACGCGGCUCCCCUUAAAUGAAUCGGUCGGACCCCUCGGGGCUCCUUUCCUGGGCGUUGUACCAUCCUCGUCCGAUGGGAGGGCCUCUUGCCGACCCCGACCUGCCUCUGGAGCGGCGGUCAACACACUUUGAAAUCUGACCUCAAAUCAGGUAGGACUACCCGCUGAACUUAA
RNAcentral lists this unclassified non-coding RNA (286 nucleotides) under Trechisporales sp. RNAcentral's name for it is "partial contains 5.8S ribosomal RNA, internal transcribed spacer 2, and large subunit ribosomal RNA". The record is from RNAcentral. Lineage: Eukaryota; Fungi; Basidiomycota; Agaricomycetes; Trechisporales.